UACGAAGGGGGCUAGCGUUGCUCGGAAUCACUGGGCGUAAAGGGUGCGUAGGCGGGUCUUUAAGUCAGGGGUGAAAUCCUGGAGCUCAACUCCAGAACUGCCUUUGAUACUGAAGAUCUUGAGUUCGGGAGAGGUGAGUGGAACUGCGAGUGUAGAGGUGAAAUUCGUAGAUAUUCGCAAGAACACCAGUGGCGAAAGCGGCGCGCUGGACCACAACUGACGCUGAGGAACGAAAGCUAGGGGAGCAAACAGG
Molecule: ribosomal RNA, 253 nt
Filed under: uncultured bacterium
Lineage: Bacteria
Description: partial 16S ribosomal RNA
Rfam family: Bacterial small subunit ribosomal RNA
Source: RNAcentral